RNAcentral lists this ribosomal RNA (468 nucleotides) under uncultured bacterium. RNAcentral describes it as "partial 16S ribosomal RNA". It matches the Rfam family "Bacterial small subunit ribosomal RNA", at positions 28 to 507 of the family's 1533-position model. The record is from RNAcentral.
GACGAACGCUGGCGGCGUGCUUAACACAUGCAAGUCGAACGGAAAGGCCCUGCUUUUGUGGGGUGCUCGAGUGGCGAACGGGUGAGUAACACGUGAGUAACCUGCCCUUGACUUUGGGAUAACUUCAGGAAACUGGGGCUAAUACCGGAUAGGAGCUCCUGCUGCAUGGUGGGGGUUGGAAAGUUUCGGCGGUUGGGGAUGGACUCGCGGCUUAUCAGCUUGUUGGUGGGGUAGUGGCUUACCAAGGCUUUGACGGGUAGCCGGCCUGAGAGGGUGACCGGCCACAUUGGGACUGCGAUACGGCCCAGACUCUUACGGGAGGCAGCAGUGGGGAAUAUUGCACAAUGGGCGGAAGCCUGAUGCAGCAACGCCGCGUGCGGGAUGACGGCCUUCGGGUUGUAAACCGCUUUCGCCUGUGACGAAGCGUGAGUGACGGUAAUGGGUAAAGAAGCACCGGCUAACUACGUG